GGAGAGGUACCGAAGCGGUCAUAACGGGGCGGUCUUGAAAACCGUUAGAGGUCAAACUCACAAGGGUUCGAAUCCCUUCCUCUCCUCCA
This 89-nucleotide transfer RNA is filed under the name Bacillaceae bacterium. Its description in RNAcentral is "tRNA-Ser". It matches the Rfam family "tRNA". From Rfam's summary of the family: Transfer RNA (tRNA) molecules are approximately 80 nucleotides in length. Their secondary structure includes four short double-helical elements and three loops (D, anti-codon, and T loops). Lineage: Bacteria; Bacillati; Bacillota; Bacilli; Caryophanales; Bacillaceae. The record is from RNAcentral.